Molecule: long non-coding RNA, 4810 nt
Filed under: Malus domestica (apple)
Lineage: Eukaryota; Viridiplantae; Streptophyta; Magnoliopsida; Rosales; Rosaceae
Description: long non-coding RNA (MDOM_LNC002082)
Source: RNAcentral
CAACAUUUCAUUUUUGGUAGCAUGUUCACAUGCUUCGGGCGACAUCUUUUUGAAAUCCAAAACCUGACACACUUCCUCUCGUUCCAUCUCCGUCAAGUGCCUGUGCUUAUCUAAGUAGAUAUGAACCGCCCUGUAUAUUCCAUCUGAGGUUCUUUGUAUACCCAACGAUGCUGCAAUCGACAUCUCUGCUAAUUCAACAAAUGUACCUAUCUUCAGAUCUAUGUCACUGGCAAUUUCAGCCAAGAAUUCUUCAAUGAGUUCAGCUACUGCAACUAGCCCGGAUACGUCUGAAGAAGUAAAACUUCCAUAGAACACUUUCAGUAUCCGCCUCAAACACCCAAUCUCGUAUUGCAUUUCCUUGGAAUAGCCUUGAGAUGGUAUCAAGAGGUCUUUGACUGUUGCCCGUUCCAGUUGUUUUCCGAUUCUGAUCUCAAUCCCAUUUCUACAGUCAGAACUCACUUCCAAAAGAAUAGCGAAACGGAGGAUUUCAAACAAUAAUGUGCAUGGAAGUAGUCCAAUGUCAUGAGGCAACAAUCUCUCCACUGCUUCAAGGAUUUCCCUUUGAUAGUUCAUCUUAUCUUCCUCUCCGCUGCUAGAGAAAACCCAUUUCUUUGUAUAGUUACAAAGGGAUGCAGCCACAUACCGCGAUGGAACGUCAUGCUUAUUCAUUCCAAGGAUGACAGGCUCAUAGAUCGGAAGGGACAGUGUUGUCAAGUCUUCCGAUUGCCAAUCAAGAACAAAGAGCCUUCUCCUUGCGCUCGGCCUAUAGCCUUCUUCGUCAUCAUCCUCACUAUCGUCAUCAUACUUCAUCAAAUUGUUGAUUGGCUCUCCGAGAAGGCUGGGAUUAGCUAGUGCCUUUUGAAUGAUAGAAUCUAUACAGGCAUCGAUUAAACCGAGCUUCACAGACUGUUGGAGGAACUUUUCUGUGGCUCGGAAAGCCUUCACAGUUUCAUUCCAGCUCGGGAGGAUUCUUUCUUGAAAAUAAGAAAGCGCCUUACUUAACAAAUUAUUUUUGCUGUGGUUUUCAGUCAUCUCCAAGUAGUGAGCUACACAAAUGAGAGGUACAAUAUUCUCAGAGGACAUCUGAAUUUCAAAGCCGUGGUAGAAUCUGGCAACAAGCUCCAGAGUGUCUGUGUCAGCAGGGAUAUUUCUAAGGAAGCGAGAAAGAUCAUCCUGCGAUUUCUGUAUGAGUAAGGCAGCAACUUUGGCUGAUUUUUCAGCCAGAAGAACCUGCGAACAACGAUUAUUAUUACCAAAGAAAAAUUAUAGCACAUCUGGCCUUCAUUCUCUCGUAGAAAAGGAGUUCAUAAUUAUGUCGCGGUAAACAAAAACCGCGGUAGAAUUACGGUUUGUAGAACACUUACUUUGUCAAUGAACGGCGCACCAAGUACGUUGGGUUGCAAAUCUGGUGCCAAUGUAGGCUUAGACAACCUAAAAGAAGUAAACGGCAAGGGGAACAAAUUGAGUGAAAAAUACAUAUAAAUUUAAAAAAAAAAAAAAAUUAUAUAAAUUCAGCCUUUAUUUUACCAGGAUGAUAAAUCUUUGCAUUGUCCCUUUGCCAUCUUUUGGUGAUUCCUUUGACUGCAGCGUUUACAGUGAAAGAGUUUAAACUAGGGUUUUAGAGACUGAUUGCAUAAGCUCAACUCAGUUAAUGAUGAGUGAGGUUUUGACUUCAUUAUAUAGAGAUUACAAGAUAAGUUGGUUACAAUAUGAACAUAUAUCAACAUAUAUCAGAUUACAAACGGAUAGAUUCUACGAAGAGAUAGGAGAGUCUAUCUGAUGAAGAGUCCUUGAGUUAUCCAAACUGUGAGGUUGACUUGAUGAGGGAGACUUAGAUGAUUCGAACUCCAGAGAUGUGGAUGGCUGACUUGGAGUGGUUUGUUGACCUGGAGUACAUGUGGUUUGUUGACGUGGAGUACAUGGUUUAUCAUACAGUAGGGAAGUUUCCGACGACGUUCGACUCUGGCUUUGCAAUGACCUCUUGACCAAUAAUGUAUUUUCUUUUGUACCAGCCAUACAGAAUAAAGUAUAACAUGAACAGAUAGGGUUGUUUCAAAUGACAAUGUAUAUAUGCAUAUUGUAAUUUCAAAUACUACUGUAUGUUCUGUAAUUGAAGGUUAGCACGACACAUGUGCAAGAAUGACACACAUAAACCGAGAAAAGAAAGAAAUUGAAAGGGUUUUUGGCCUGGUGAGAAUAGUUCAGCACAAACACAUGAACUGAUAGCUUUUUCAAAAAAUUAAUAAAUUAACAGUAAGGGGCUCGCUUAGUGAGGACAAUAUGAAUUGCAACUCAAUUUUACUCAUUCUCUCACUUUUUGCUCACUGUUCAUAUGACUCAAUGGUACAUAUGCAAAAAAAUUCACAUUCAAUAAGAACACAAAAGGAGGAAAUAUUUAAGAAAUUCAAACAACUAACGCAUGCAAAAUCCACUUUAAUUACUCAGAAUUAUGCAUUUACUACUACUGAGGACGCAAGUAAAAACGUGAUUACGAUAAAGUAAAAGAAAAAAUCUAUAUCAAAAUCUGGGACAGUAAACAUUUAACAUAUUCUAUAGGUUAAAGAAGGAGAAGAGAGAGGGAGACUUAGUGGGAAAAAGUGAGGUGUUAGAGAGUGAGUUACAAAUUGAGUUGAAGCUUCUUGUGGUAAAUAUGGACGUGUGAACUCACAUACACAGUUCAGUCAAUGGCUUGUUGAAAUAUGGACGUUAGAAAUCUGAUUUUUCUCCUAAACGUGUGCGUUCUGUUAAUAUUUUGAGUAUCAGAUUUUCUUUUGUUUGAAAAAUUAAAUUAAUAAAACAAAAUUUGCGGGGUUACAUUUGCUUAACAAGUUACAUGUCGUUCGCUGACAUGACCCAAAUAUGAAGUGGAUCGGAUAUCUUAUGCUUGGUUUUUUCUCCCCUAUAAUUUGAUUCCUUUAUUCUAAACAUGCCACGUCAAUUAUAAUCGUCCAAAGACAAAAAAAAUUGGUUACACAUUGACACAUAUUUUACAUUCUACAUGUCACACUCAUUGUUUUGGAUGCACCUUCUUAUUCUAUACAUUCUACAUGUCACACUCCAUAUUUUACAUUCUACAUGUCACACUCCAUGUUUCCGACGACGUUCGACUCUAGCUUUGCAAUGACCUCUUCACCAAUAAUGUAUUUCCUUUCUUACCAGCCAUACAGAAUAAAGUAUAACAUGAACAGAUAGGGUUGUUUCAAAUGACAAUGUAUAUAUGCAUAUUGUAAUUUCAAAUACUACUGUAUGUUUUGUAAUUGACGGUUAGCACGACACACGUGCAAGAAUGACACACAUAAACCGAGAAAAGAAAGAAAUUGAAAGGGUUUUUGGCCUGGUGAAAAUAGUUCAGCACAAACACAUGAACUGUUGAUGAUAGAUUUUUCAAAAAAUUAAUAAAUUAACAAUAAGGGGAUCACUUAGUGAGGACAAUAUGAAUUGCAACUCAAUUUGUUACUCAUUCUCUCACUUUUUGCUCACUGUUCAUAUGACUCAAUGAUAUAUAUGCAAAAAAUUUCACUUUCAAUAAAAACACAAAAGGAGGUAAAAUUUAAGAAAUUCAAACAACUAAGGCAUGCAAAAUCCACAUUAAUUACUCAGAAUUAUGCAUUUACUAAUACUGAGGACGCAAGUAAAAACGUGAUCCAGAUUAAGUAAAAGAAAAAAUCUAUAUCAAAAUCUGUGACAGUAAACAUUUAACAUAUUCUAUAGGUUAAAGAAGGAGAAGAGAGUGGGAGACUUACUGGGAAAAAGUGAGGUGUGUGAGAGUGAGUUACAAAUUGAGUUGAAGCUUCUUGUGGUAAAUAUCGACGUGUGAACUCACAUACACAGUUCAGUCAACGGCUUGUUGAAAUAUGGACGUUAGUAAUCUGAUUUUUCUCCUAAACAUGUGGGUUCUGUUAAUAUUUGAGUAUCAGAUUUUGUUUUGUUUGAAAAAUUAAAUUAAUAAAACAAAAUUUGCAGGGUUACAUUUGCUUAACAAGUUACAUGUCAUUCGCUGACAUGACCCAAAUAUUAAGUGGAUCAGAUAUCCUAUGUUUGGUUUUUUCUCCCCUAUAAUUUGAUUCCUUUAUUCUAAACAUGCCACGUCAAUUAUAAUCGUCCAAAGACAAAAAAAAUUGGUUACACAUUGACCAUAUUUUACAUUCUACAUGUCACACUCCAUGUUUUGGAUGCACCUUCUUCUUCUUCUUCUUCUUCAAUUGGCAGUUAGAAUCGCCCACACUGUUGAUGCACCCGAACUUCCUCUUCAUUUCUCUCCACAAGCUAGUUUUCUCCUUCACCUUGGGGUUGCAGCCAUUCUCAAUCGCUUUCCUCAUCUUAUAGCACUUUCUUUCAAGCUCCAUUACCUUUAUGCUCAUUUUCUCCAUCUCGGAUCUCAUUUCUCUCUCACCAACAUCCAACUUUGCAUCUUCUCCUCCGCAGCCUCCUUUGUUGUUCUUUCGUCUGAACCCUGCACCCCGUUGAUGAUCGUAUCAAGCAGCUGCAACUGCCCUGCAAAUAACACCUGCACCACCACUCUCAGAAGCAACAUUUCAUUUUUGGUAGCUUGUUCACAUGCUUCGGGCGACAUCUUUUUGAAAUCCAAAACUGACACACUUCCUGUCGUUCCAUCUCCGUCAAGUGCCUGUGCUUAUCCAAGUAGAUAUGAACCGCCCUGUAUAUUCCAUCUGAGGUUCUUUGUAUACCCAACGAUGCUGCAAUCGACAUCUCUGCUAAUUCAACAAAUGUACCUAUCUUCAGAUCUAUGUCACUGGCAAUUUCAGCCAAGAAUUCUUCAAUGAGUUCAGCUACUGCAACUAGCCCGGAU